AUACGGAGGGGACUAGCGUUGUUCGGAAUUACUGGGCGUAAAGCGCGCGUAGGCGGUUUAGAAAGUCAGAGGUGAAAUCCCAGGGCUCAACCCUGGAACUGCCUUUGAAACUAUUAAACUAGAGAUUGAGAGAGGUAAGUGGAAUUCCGAGUGUAGAGGUGAAAUUCGUAGAUAUUCGGAGGAACACCAGAGGCGAAGGCGACUUACUGGACCAAUACUGACGCUGAGGUGCGAAAGCGUGGGGAGCAAACAGAAUUAGAAACCCCAGUAGUCC
Molecule: ribosomal RNA, 274 nt
Filed under: uncultured bacterium
Lineage: Bacteria
Description: partial 16S ribosomal RNA
Rfam family: Bacterial small subunit ribosomal RNA
Source: RNAcentral